UACGGAGGGUGCAAGCGUUAUCCGGAUUCACUGGGUUUAAAGGGUGCGUAGGUGGGUCUGUAAGUCCGUGGUGAAAUCUCCGAGCUUAACUUGGAAACUGCCAUGGAUACUAUAGAUCUUGAAUACUGUGGAGGUUGCCGGAAUGGAUGGUGUAGCGGUGAAAUGCAUAGAUAUCAUCCAGAACACCGAUUGCGAAGGCAGGUGACUACGUUUGAUUUGACACUGAGGCACGAAAGCAUGGGGAGCAAACAGG
Molecule: ribosomal RNA, 253 nt
Filed under: uncultured bacterium
Lineage: Bacteria
Description: partial 16S ribosomal RNA
Rfam family: Bacterial small subunit ribosomal RNA
Source: RNAcentral